RNAcentral lists this ribosomal RNA (253 nucleotides) under uncultured bacterium. RNAcentral's name for it is "partial 16S ribosomal RNA". It matches the Rfam family "Bacterial small subunit ribosomal RNA", at positions 524 to 776 of the family's 1533-position model. The record is from RNAcentral.
UACGUAGGGACCAAGCGUUGUUCGGAUUUACUGGGCGUAAAGGGCGCGUAGGCGGCAUGACAAGUCACUUGUGAAAUCUCCGGGCUUAACUCGGAACGGUCAAGUGAUACUGUCGUGCUAGAGUACAGAAGGGGCAACUGGAAUUCUCGGUGUAGCGGUGAAAUGCGUAGAUAUCGAGAGGAACACCUGCGGCGAAGGCGGGUUGCUGGGCUGAUACUGACGCUGAGGCGCGAAAGCCAGGGGAGCGAACGGG